AGUGAACGCUGGCGGCAGGCCUAAUACAUGCAAGUCGAACGGCAGCACAGCAGAGCUUGCUCUGUGGGUGGCGAGUGGCGGACGGGUGAGGAAUACAUGGGAAUCUGCCCAGUCGUGGGGGAUAACGUAGGGAAACUUACGCUAAUACCGCAUGCGCCCUUCGGGGGAAAGCCGGGGACCUUCGGGCCUGGCGCGAUUGGAUGAGCCCAUGUCGGAUUAGCUAGUUGGCGGGGUAAAGGCCCACCAAGGCGACGAUCCGUAGCUGGUCUGAGAGGAUGAUCAGCCACACUGGAACUGAGACACGGUCCAGACUCCUACGGGAGGCAGCAGUAGGGAAUAUUGGACAAUGGGCGCAAGCCUGAUCCAGCCAUGCCGCGUGAGUGAAGAAGGCCCUCGGGUUGUAAAGCUCUUUUGUCCGGAAAGAAAGCGCCGGGUUAAUACCCUGGUGUCCUGACGGUACCGGAAGAAUAAGCACCGGCUAACUUCGUGCCAGCAGCC
This 498-nucleotide ribosomal RNA is filed under the name uncultured bacterium. RNAcentral describes it as "bacterial SSU rRNA". It matches the Rfam family "Bacterial small subunit ribosomal RNA", at positions 29 to 516 of the family's 1533-position model. The record is from RNAcentral.